This 14837-nucleotide long non-coding RNA is filed under the name Lynx pardinus (Iberian lynx). Lineage: Eukaryota; Metazoa; Chordata; Mammalia; Carnivora; Felidae. The record is from RNAcentral.
CUAUCGCCCACAGGAACACAACAUACAUUUCCUCUUGAGGCGCUACAUUUCUGAACUGUUCAUGCAACGAACAUCCCGCACUCAGGAUGGAGACGUGCUACACAAUGUGCUCUCUGUUAGCAGUUUGCCCGAAGUAAGUAUUAGAAUUCAAGGAGCUGUCUGAAGUUAUUCAUCCUUAAGAAAAGGAAGUUGAAGGGCUUGGUUGAGGCUUUCGCUGAGGCAGAGAAUAUAACAAGGUGCUCUCUAGGUACUAUGGUCUGAGGGACUUCGAUUAAUUGUCAAGUGAUCUGGUUAAUACAAGUCAGAGUAAGUCUUAAGUAAUUCUAAUAUUCUAGCAUGUUUCAGGCCCACUUAGAUGUUUCCUUGAUUCAUAAUGCCCAUUUUACUCUCACACACAUAUAAUAGGGCCUCUUUAAAUUCUGUUUAUGGGAAUAUAAAUGUUCCAUUAAUCUCUUUGAUCACUCUAGAAAGUGCUGUGCUUUCAUCCUCUGUGAUAAUAGGUGAAGUGUUCUCGUGACUAAUAUACAGAUGGAGAUAAGCCUUAUUAAGAGCAUUCUAGAGGUGCCUGGAUGGCUCAAUUGGUUAAGUGUCUGACUUUGGCUUAGGUCAUGAUCUCACGGUUCGUGGGUUCGAGCCCCAAGUGAGGCUCUGUGCUAACAGCUCAGAGCUUGGAGCCUGCUUUGGAUUCUGUGCCUCUCUCUCACUCUGCCCCUCCCCUUCUCAAGCUCUGUCUCUCUUUCAAAAAUAAGUACACAUUAAAAGAAAGAGAGAAAGAAAUGCCAGUAGUGUGCUGUAUUUAUUCUGGGAGAAAUGUCUAAUUGCUUAGCCCUGCAGCAUUCUAACCUGGGGCCUCUUCAUCCUGUUGGGACAGAGGGAGGGGUCCUUUAAAUUGCAGUUGUUGGAAAGAAUUAGCUCUAGAUCAGAACCCCAGGUGCAAAGCAAUUCUUUUGGGGGAAGAACAGAACCUCAUAACAGGGUCUGUUCACAUGUAAUGAUUUUCCCUUUGAACCAUUAUCACAUAGACCAUCAGGUACCCCUCACUUUUCCACUGUAAAUGCAUGUAUGCAGCUAAGCAAACGCAUUUGCAAAACUCCAUCUCCUACAAGCAAAAAGAAGCUGAAAAUAUCACUGGCAGGUAAUCAACAUUUAAACAUGAAGAAUUCACUGAUCACUUCAUAAAAGUGCUGUUCAAAGAAUACCCCAUCAAGGCCCAAUUUCGUGACAUAGUCUGAACUUCAGUUCUUCAAGUACUAUAGUUUGUUCUUAAACAGUAUCACCUAUUUAGUUUGUUACAUUACAUAUGCAUCUAUUGCCAAAUGUUUUCCCAUAGGUGUCAGCGACUUCAAAAGGGCAAUCUUAUUUUACCCAGUCAGAGAAAACCUGUUAUUACCAAAAAGCUAUGCAUACACGAGGAGCCAUCUUAGGAAGCUUUCUGGAACAACUAUUGCAGAAAUGGAAGUUAAACAUUCUAGAGUGAUAUUUUAAGAAAUGCUCUGAGACUAGAACUUCUUCAUGCUCAUUGAGCUUGGUGAAAACAAAACAAAAUUAAACAAAAUCCUUAGAAACAUGCAAACCAGAGGCACCUUAACUUGCUAACUGAAAAGGGUAACUAGAUAUGCAGCCUCUGUCUAUUUCAGUAAACAGAGUUCUCAGAAACACCGUGAAAACUGUUAAGAUUUUAUUUGAGCCAAACUUACUUUCUCCCGGUACUUUUUGGACUGGAUGGUAACUCUAUCCACUCCCCUGUUAGGCUUGUAAUUCUUUCCAUUCUAAGACCUACCUCCAGGCAAGGAAGAACCUGAUUUGAAGUCUUUAUCCUUCUUAGUUGACCUGACUUUAAAUUAAAUUUAUUUACCCAUUUUGCUGUGUGAAAUUUGUAUUAUACUAUUACUUUUACCUAUUUAUAUAUAUAAUACAGUAUAUAUUUAUGUAUAUAUACACGUAAUAUAGUGUCAUAUUAACAUCAUAUAUAUAUUCUAAGAUAUUAUAAUGCUACUAUAAAUAAAAUAUACAGAUUGUUUGUACUUGUGUAUUGUAAUUCAUAAGAAAUAUAUAUAUUGGGUCAUUCAGAAGACCAAAAUAUAUUUUUUGUAUAUGUUUGGUCUUUAUCUACAGUUCUUGGCUCACAGUUCUUAAAUCCCUUGGAAUUUCCUGAUCCAUAAGAGCAAUGAGAGCAUCUUUUGUUAUAAUAUUUGGUGUCUUGUCCUAGAUUCUUGAAAAUAUUUCAGAGCCGUAAAAGAGAAAUGGGUGCCUUGUGAACAACUGGGUCUAUUUUAAUCAAGAUGAGACUUCUGGAAAUCCUCUGAGGUUGGGGGCUGAUUGCCAGAGGGACUAACCAUAGAAUACAGGUUUGAAAAUUUCAGUCCCACCCCCAUGAUUUCCUGGGAAGGAAGAGGGCUAGAGGUUGAAUCAAUCCCCAAUGGCCAAUAACUUAAUCAUUUGUGCCCAUGUAAUGAAACUUCCGUAAAAUCCCAAAAGGAGGGGCUUCGUAGAGAUACACUGAUGGUAAACCGUAAUGCUUUCAGGUGCCACUGUGUAGCUGGGGAGUAGGGGUGCAAAAGAACCUGACUCUGGGGGCCCAAACACACCAGGUUCAGCCAUUCGCCACUGACAAAAUCCAAAGGCAGAGAGAUGACAGGUGGUGAAAGAAGAAAGGAAUUUAGUUCAGUAAGGCAAUACCAGGAAGACAGUGGGCUAGUGUUUCAAAGACUGUCUCUAAAGUGCUGGAAAUACUUACAGGUUUAUAUGGCGCACAGGUUGGUGGGUACGUGCAGGUUGGCAGUAAAGGUCAAAUUGAUUAUUGUCUUGGGGUCAGUCACACAGGAUCUUACUGACUCAGGGCAGUCUUUCUUACUUGAGGGGGUAGUUUCAGUUCCCUUCAGAGGAUCCUUUGCCUGCAGGGUCUUUUGCUUGAGUUAAGAGAUAAGCUGGAAAGAAAAAUGUAAUCAAUUGGAAAGUUUGAAGUCAAAAUGGAGGUAGUUGAGUUCCCAAACUCCAUGAGGACAGAAGCUCUUUAGUUCAGGACCUCCCUCUAUGUAUCUCUUCAUCUUUCUGUUGAUUCAUGACCAUUAAUAUUCUUUGUAAUAAAUCAGUAAUCUAGUGAGUAAAUUGUUUUCCUGAUUCCUGUGAACUCUUCCAGCAAAUUAAUUGAACCCAAGGAGGGAAUAGUGGAAACCUCUGAUUUAUAGCCAGUUGGUCAGAGUACAGGUAACAACUUGAGACUGUGACUAGCAUUUGAAACGGAGAGCUAUUUUGUGGGACUGACACCUUUACCUGUGGAAUCUGAUGCUAUCUCUACAUAGAUAUUGUCAGAAUUGAGAUGAAUUGAGUUGAAUUCUCAAACACCCUGCUAAUGUCUAAGAAUUGUUUGUUGGUGUGGGGAAGCCUACACACACACACACACACACACACACACACACACACAUUGGAAUUGGGCCCAGGAACCCAAAAGAAUAUUUAUGUAUCCUAGUAACAAUGUAACAUCGUAUAUAACAUAGUAAUAUUCACAUAUGCACACACACAUAAAAUCUAGCAAUUUUAAUUAUUGUAGCUUUAUAAUAUCUCAGGGUUUUGCUUAAAACUUUCUAAGCUCCUCACACUUUCAAAAAGGAAAGUAGCAAAUAAACAAGGGAGAGGAAAUGGGAGGAGAGGUAAGAAAAGGAGGAGAACAUAAGGGAAAAAAGAAAAAUGACAUUGGAAUUGGAAUUAUAACUUACUUUGUGAAGAACUGUAUCUUUCUAAAACUAAGUCCUCCCUUCCCUGCAUGUAAUAGGCCUUUAUAAUUUUGUUGACAUUGUGAAUGAGGUUUUUCAUUUUUAUUGUAUUUUCAAAUAGUUAAGUAGUUAUAAAAUUGAUAUUUUACUUGCUAUCUGCUUAAGUCCUUUGUCUACAUCUUAAUUGGUUCAGCAUUCUAGAAGGAGUGACAAGGUAAUGAGAGUUAUUGCCUUCUCCCCACACCAAACACCCAACAAGUAUUUAUGUAGAUUUUCUUCCUUGACCUGUGGUUGCUAUGCACUGCUUCAUAAAUUUCCUGACCUUAAAACAUUCUUAUUUUCUGGUAGAUUUCCUACUCAAUCAUGAUAUAUUAUUAUAGUAAAAUCCUGUUGUAUUAAAUUCACUAAUAUCUGUGAAAGCCUACAUUGUCAUAAUUUAGAUACAACUGCAGGCUUUUGCACUUUGUGAGAUUUUGCUAUUUGGCUUAUAUUAGCUGAAUUGGAAAAUUUUCUUUCUUUCCCAGGCUCUUCAUAUUAAUUCUUCCUUGAUAGUUUAGAAGAAUUCAUCUGUAAAACUAUCAGGACAAGAGACUUUUAAAAACCCAAAAUAUUUAAUUAUUUCUCUAGAUAUUGGUCUUUUGAGGUUUUCUUAUUAUUUUAGAAAUGAUCUUAUUAAUUAAUGUUGCAUAAAAUAUUAUAUGUCAUUAAUAUAUUUAAUAUUAUCAUAGUUAUAUAAUAGUCUGUUUUAAAAUUUCAUAGAUAUAUUAUUAUAUUGAUGCUAAUUCCUUUUUGUUUAGAUUUACCAGCACAUUACACAUUUUUUAAUGUUUUUUUUAAAAAGUGUCUAGCUUUUAUGAUUGUCUAUAGAUUUUUCAAUUCCUAAUUACCUUAUUUUACUUUUUGUAUUAAUUAGUUUCCUUUUCCUAAAUUUGACUGCUCAUUUUCAAAUGUUUUGAGGCUUUUUUAAUCGUUUAUUUUCAUUCAUUUGUGUUUAAUAAUAGAAACGUGUAACCUAUCCUUUUCUAGAAUGGCUUCAGCCCCUUGCUGGUACGUUGUAUUUUUGGAACAUUGUAUUUUUAUUGUUCUCAUUUUCUGUAUAGUCUCUAUUUAGACUAUCUGGAAAUUCUCUCUUUUAUUCAAAAGUUGCUUAGAAGUAACUGACUUUAUUGUCUUUAAACUUAUGCUAGUAAUUUCCCUUUUUAUUUUGCUUGUAUUCAGUGAGCCCAUUUUAGUUUCAGACUUUUAUUUAGCUCAUUAAAAAUUUCCACGUCUUUUCAUUAAUACUUCUCUUUGGCUUCUCUUUCUCUUUCUGAGGUCUCUAUCAUAUGUAUAAUAAAUUUUUUACUUCUCUCAAUGCCUCAUCUUUUUAUUUCAUCAUUUUAAUCUCUGCUUCUCCUUAUGUAGGCUCGUGGAGAGUUUGUUAGACAUGUCAAACUCUUAAAAUCAAUUUGCUAUAAUAUAUAAAUCUUUAUUCACUGUCUCUUUCAUUGCUUUUAAUUUGGCAACCAUUUUUUAAAACUUGUCUUUAAAUUAUAGUGAAGUUGUUCUUAGAUGGGUUUGUUUUUAUCAGUGACCAUUUUGGUUACAUAAAUGUAGUGGUUUGUUUUUUGUUUUUUUUUAAUCUUACUGAGCACACAAAAAAUUUCAAAAUGUAUUCCUGUUUCUUUUCAUAAAUUCUAAUGUUUCAGAGCAGUCCCCUUCCUUUGUACUAAAAUAAUUAUGUGCCUGAUGAUUUUUCUGUCUCCUCAGGCACACCUGAGGCAAAGGAAAUUCUCUUGUUGUCUACAAUUAGAAGCUGACAGGGAACUGUCAAAGACUGGAUGAGUCUUUCUGUUCAAACCUCUCUAGCAUAAAAACGCGAAAAUAUGAAAAGCUGAGAUUUACUGUAAUCAUACUUUGCUAGUUCAGAGGUACAGUGGCCUGGGGAGAAAUAGGAAAUAUCUGAAGCCAAAGACAGCAAGUAGUAGCCAGGAAUUAGCUGGCAGAGGACCACCAUUCUUUGCCUGGCAUCGUUACAUUUGUUAGGAGCCAGCCAAAGAAGAGACCUACUUCUUACCUAGUGGGCCAAGUAGGCAGGGAGUAAAUGCCACUUUGGGCAUCUCUGCUUGCCAUGACCUCCUGGAACCAAUUGUUUUUCCCAGAAGCAGUAAUAGGAUCCAUAUUGUUCUGCUGACUUUGGAUGGAGGCAAAGGAGAAAAGGCUGGUGGCUAACAUGGAUUUUGCCAGGACUUUUGCACUUGCUCUUACCUAUACUUCACCUAUAGAGGAUCAUGUGUCCAAUCAACCAUUUCUUCAUUUCAGUCCUGUUUAUUCAAGUAACUCAAAAUUCCUCAGCUUGUCAUGUGAGAAAAUUCCCUGCUUCAUGGGUUAUCAGAAUUAGCAAAAGUUAUUCCUUACUUUCAUAUUCUGCUGGUCAUUUCCAUUCAACUCAUAUGAUCAUCAGUCAUAUGUGCUUACUCAAUCAUCUUUGUUAAUAUAGGAUUUUUUGUUUUGUUUUUGCACUAAUGGAUGUAGUCCCAUGUUUUCUGUUUUAUUUCAACCUCUGGUUGUGAAGUUUCUGAAAACGGUAUUAAACAACUAGGUCAGUUUGUCCUUUGACAUCUGGGAAAAUGCUAGACUUAUGUUGGUCCAUGAAUGGAAGAAAAGUCUAUGCUACUCUCUUCACCAUUUCCUAGCUUCCAUCAUCUUCCAAAACAGCUGCAAAGAGAGUUUUAACCAGCAUUUCAGAGAUCCCUUUACCUUUUUGUUUGUUUGAACAUAUUUCCCUCAAUGAAUUAACAAUAAUCCAUUACACUGCAAUGUUCAGAAAAAAAUUGUAUUUUUAAUCUAAAUAUUAGACUAGAUUGGAGGUUCAUUCUUUAUAACAAAAGGAACAAUUUCACUUGUAGAUUGAAACAAAUAAUAUUAUUUUCUUGAUAGUAAAAGCAAUAUAUACUUUCUUGAUAGUAAAAGCAAUAAAAAUAUGAAGGAGUGAACUGAAUAAAUGUAAAGAAAAAAAGGAAAAGAUAUUAUAAAAUCCUCUUAAGAUAAAUCAUCAGAAAUAUAUCUUUUUGGUCCUUAUGUACAAAAUCUAUUUAUUUCCAAAAACAAUUUCUCUCUUAAACUUCUGAUAUUCAAUCCCUUAUAGAUAUCUCAAAUACCACCAAAUUGUACCUGAACACUGCAAUGCAAUUUUAAAAAGAAGACACUCUUGUGAAUACAACCAAUAAUAUAAACAUUUCUCUUUUAACUUGAAGGUACUGAUCAUGCAUGUCCAGUGAUCCACUUACAAAAAAUGUCAUGAAUCAACUCACUACAUUCUGCCAUGACACUUCUGGGAAAAACAACUCCAUCUUUAUUCUUAUGUGGUCAGCCAUGGGGAAUUUCCCUCACCUGUACAUUUCAAAAUGUAUUAUCUUCAAUCAGUAUGUAACAGAUAGUAAUGUUCUAAGAAAAUGCAUUUUCCAUAAGUCGUUUUUGAUAAUCACUGGGUGCUGGAAGACAGGCUUAGUGACAAGGAAACACAUGCAGAAAUGACACAACCUACCAUCCCUUUACAGAUCAGCUUCUUCUAAAUCAAGAAGGAAAACUGGAUGUAUGAAAGCCAGGUUACAGAUUUUGGGAUGAUACGUCUCUAAUAGCCAUGCAUCCCAUUGAUUGCUUGAUUAUGAGCUGAUUGGAUUUGCUAAAUCACUACUCCCUCCCUCCUUCACUUGUUAUGGAAAGUUCUCCCUGAAAUUGUACAAUCCGUUUAGGGAACUGUAUCAAUAAGGAAUGAUGUUGUCUUCAUAGAACAGACACUACUAAGAGUGACAGUAUUUGCCCCAGAUAACGAGAAGUCUAACAGCAGUCUCUCCAGGCUGGUGUAGCUACUGAAAACUAUUAUCAAGGAUCUAGCUAUUCAUUAGUGUGUAAGCUUCAUCCUCCUGAUUAUGGCCUCCUAUUCACAAAAGUACUGCUACACUCCAGGCAUAGAACUGAUGUUACAGGGAGGAAGAAGAAGAAGAAAAAAAGAAACCUGUGAAAGAACCAUUGGUACCCAUAAUUAAGAAGACAAAAUCUUCCCCAAAGCUAACAAAUACUCACCAGCCACAGCUGUGUCACAUAGCCAUCUCCAGCUUCAAGGCUAUCUGGGAUAUUGAAUUAUUUUAGGUGGCUUUGACUGCCUAUCAACAAAGUUGGGAUUUUUUUAUUCUUGUUACUAAAAUUGUUUUAUUAAAAUUACAUAUUGAACAAAGAGCAUUAUCUGCUAAACAGGCUUUCAGUAACACAUUGUUAGAGACGCUGGUUCUGUAAAACCUGACUCCUGUUGGUGCACAUGAGUUGUGUAUAUUGGCUCUCUCACCAUCUGAACAACAUAAAUAUUAUAUAUAUUUUGAGUAAUCACUUAAAUACAUUUUGUUUCAUGUACAUUUAAAUACAUUAAAUGUAUUUUCUUCACAUGUAGAACAAUUUAUAUGAUGUACUUAUUAAUAUUUGCUACAAAAUCCCUAUUGAGUUUACUACUUCAUAUCUUUUACACUACCUUCAAAAACACAAUUUCCUCCAACCGUUUAAUAUUUCAGAAUAUCCUACUGCUAUCUACUUUAGAAUCUUAAAGGCAUUCCUUCUCCUGUGACUUCUCUCCUCCUCAAAGGGAGGAGACUUCUCUCCUCAAGCACUACUUGACCUUGCCUUUUGUCUAUGAGGACAAGUAAAGAUCAGCCUCCAUUUCAAGGAUAAUCAUGCAAAUUUGUUAUUUUUUUUAGAAAUAAAUGUUUUAUUUUAGAAUAGUUUGUGACUUACAAAAAAGUUGUAGAGAAUUCCCAUAAACUCCACACCCAGUUUCCAUGAGCUCGUAUUUGGCAAAAUGUCUCUCAAAAUCUGUCUGAUAUUUUUCUUUUUUUUUUUUUUCAACAUUUUUAUUUAUUUUUGGGACAGAGAGAGACAGAGCAUGAACAGGGGAGGGGCAGAGACAGAGGGAGACACAGAAUCUGAAACAGGCUCCAGGCUCCAAGCCAUCAGCCCAGAGCCUGACGCGGGGCUCGAACUCACGGACCGCGAGAUCGUGACCUGGCUGAAGUCGGACGCUUAACCGACUGCGCCACCCAGGCGCCCCUGUCUGAUAUUUUUCUAAUGAUUACACAAGAGUUAUAUAUUUUGAGGAGAAAAACCACAGAAGUAAAGUGUCAUUUUCAUCAUAUAACCAAGGGUACAUGCUAUCAACAUGGCUUUAUCGUUCAUAUUAGCCUUGGUCACCUAAUUGAGGUAGUAUUUUCAGGUUUCUCUCCUGUGAAAUUACCUUUUUUUUUUAACCUCCUUUUCCAUUUUUUUUGGAAAGAAGUCACUAGAUGUAUUACACACUUAAGAAGUAGGGAGCUAUUCCCCUCUUUCUUGAGGGAAGAAUAUCUAUACAAAUUAUUUGGAAUUUUUCUGCAUGGAGAUUUAUCUAUUUCCCCCCACUAGUUUAUAUAUUCAAUCAUUUAUUUAUAACAGUAUAGAUAUAUGGGCAUUUUGUUUCUAUUUUGAACUAUGAUCCAAUACUUUAUUGUGCCAUUGUUCAAAAUGGUUCCAAUUUGGGCCAUUGGGAGUUUUCAUUUGAUUCCUGUGUCCCUUUGACAUACUUUUAUCAUUGAUAUCUGUCUUUCCUUUGUUCCUUUUGUUUUCUUGGUACUUUCUUACUAUAUGACUACAAGAUGCUCCAAGAUCAUCUUGUGUAUUUCCUGCCUUAGCCCUGGAUUCGCCAUUUCUCCAAGAAGCCUUGGCUCUUUUUAUUGGAGAAUGGCAUUAGAAAUCAACAGAGAACAAACUGAGGGUUGAUGGAGGGGGGUGUGUGGGGGAUGGGGUACAUAGGUGAUGGGUAUUAAGGAGGGCACUUGUUAUGAGCACUGGGUGUUGUAUGUAAGUGAUGAAUCACUGAAUUCUACUCCAGAAACCAAUAUUACACUAGAAUUUAAAUAAAAAUUUGGGGGGAAAAAUCAAGCAGUUAGGUGCAAAUUUACUUUUAAGUGGCAGUUGUGAUAUGGUAAGAAGUACACCUGAAUUGGACUCAAAUUUGGAAUGAGAGAAAAGGUUCAAAGCCUCGUUCUAUCAUUUCCUAACUGUGUUAUCUUGGCUAUGUUAUUUAUCUUCUCUGUCCCUUCGCUUCCUCCUAUGUAGUGGUAGUAAUAAUAGUCAAUUCCUGUAGAAAGGGGCUUCUCAACCUGGACACUGUUGACAAAUGUGCAAGAUAAUUCUUUGUUGUAAGGAGCUAUCCUGUGCAUUGUGUAGCAUUUAGCAGCAUGUCUGGCCUCUACCCACUAGAUGCCAGUAGGCACGUACCAGUCAUGAUUAUCAAAAACGACUCCAGACAUUGUCAAAUGUUCCCUGGGGGGAAAUAUUGUCCCCAGUUGAGAACUACCGCUGCAGAAUAACUUACUGUGUAUCAGCCACUAAGUAUUCCAAAUAUAUUAUUUUUUAAAAUACAAUAAUCCCAUGACAUUGAUAUUAUUUUACAAAAAAGAAAAGAGUAAAAGAAAAGGUAAGAAGCUUGCCCAAGUUUUCAUAGUUAAUUAGCUAUGUAGCUGAGGUUUGAGGCCAGUCUGACUUUGAAACCUAUGGUUUCAAAUAAUAUCACAACUGCCUCUGUAAAAGCCAUAAUUAAGAAUUCUGCUGUCACAGAGCUGUGAUAAGAGUUAAUGUCAUCUCUAAGAACAUCACACAUGAUUCUUAGAAUAGAGGAGACAUACGGUAAAUGCUGGAAGAACCCAUAUCUGAACCUCCCUCUGACUCCACACCAAGCAUGCUCUAUUUCCUGUACCCCUUGUAGUAUAUACCUUUAGUUCUUGCUUCUGCAAAUUUCUUACCUUCUGCCUACAAACAGGCUCAGCUCUUUUCCAACUGAAGAAAGAGAAUCUUUGCCUGGAUGAGGUUUCUUUUUGCAAGUUAUCAAAUAUUUUAACAUCAUAUUCAUAUUUGUUUUCCCUUCCUUAUCAUUCGCUAUUUCAUAAUGUUUUAAAACCUUAAUCCAUUUCUGCCUAUGUGCUCCUAUUGACCUGAUCCAGCAGGUCAGUGUCAGUGAUCCCCCUGACACUAGAAGGCGCUAGCACUAGGAGGAACUUGAGGAGUGUAGACACCUCCUUGUACAGAUGAGAAAGCCAAAGCAAGAAAUGUUUCAGGACUUGCCAAGGAUAUAUAACUAUUGUGCACUUAGGUUGUUUUUUUUUUCUUCCUGAAAAAGUCCUUCAUGUUGGUCUCUGCUUCACAUGAAGAUGCUCAACACUCCCCCUUAUCUUGUUCCAUUAAUCGUAUUAUCUCCCAUGACCACAACAGUCAUAUCUUAGAUCUUUUAGAUCAAAGAUUUCUUACAUCUUUUCUCUGACCUACCCCAUACCCUGAGCCACAGAUGCACAGCUUUAAUUGCCUAGUGAACAAUAUUACUUAGAUGUCCUACAACUAUCUGAAACAUCUACAAAGUAAAAGUCAUCAUUUUUACUACUGAAGUAUCCCUUUUAACAUCCCUAUCUUUCUUGAUGGGAAAUUUAUUUUAUCAUUAUCACUUCUAUUUUUAUCUUCUUUAUUACCUGGAACAUUUACAUAAUUCAGUGAAUAGCUUCCUACUUCAGCCUUUCCUUCCCUCAUAAUUUUGAAGAUCGUGACACAUUACAUUUCUUAAAACACAACCCUCAUAAUGUGAUAGGCUGCUCAGUAUCUCUGCAUUACUAAGAUCUAUGCAGUUUAAUGCAGUAGCCACUAUCUACCUGUGGCUAUUGAGCCCUUGAAACAUGGUCAUUACAAAGUGAGACAGACUGGAAGUGUAAAAUGCACAUUGGGGUUUGGAAAGAGUACAAAAAAUUAAGUAUAGCAUCUUUAUACUAAUUUUUAUAGGGGUUAAAUGCUGAAUUGGUAAUAUUAUGGAUAUGUUGGGUUAGAGAACAUUAUUAAAAUUAGCUUUACCUUUAUUGAGUGAUUAACAGAAGUUUAAAAUUACGUAUGUGGUUCACAUUAUAUUUCUUUGGACAGUGAUGGCCUGGAUAUGUAAACAUACAUUCAGAUUUUCAUGCAAAAUUUCUACUAUAAUUCCCCAACUUUCCCAACUUCUUUUCCAUUACUACACAUCUGUGUGUAUGUGUGUCUGCAUCACGCACUCCAUUCCGGUGAGAUAAUUGCUAUUCCCUGAGCAUACCCCCAGACGUUACCACUGUCAUGCCUUUGCUCAUGUGGUUCACUCCUAAUGCAGCUCCCUGUCUUCCAUCUCUGCCUAUUAGGACUCUUUCAUCAUCGAAUAACUAAAACCUAAUACAUGAGAGCAUAAGCGAGAAGACAUUUUAUUGGCUGUGUAGUUGAAAAGUCUAGAUGUCAGUUUGAGAAACUGUUGGAUCCAGGGGCUUGAAUAAUGUCAUCAAGACAUAAGACUCACUUUCAUUUGAUCUCUACUCUCUCCUGCCCUGCUUCAUCUCAUACUCUGUCCAUCUCUCACCUCUAUUUUCCUUUGCGUUGCCUUCCAUUUACUUUCAUGUAGUAAACUCCUGUAGCUCCAACUUUUGCAGCCAUAAAAGAGAAAGUUCCUUUUAACUGCACUGGGUCAAAUAUUUUCAAGGUAGUAAUUGUUACCUGACUAGUCAGAUUUGGCCCACAUGCAACUCAUGAAACAAGGAUGGGAUCAACCUCACCCAAGCCACACAGCCUGAGUGUGGAAGGUGGGUCAAGUAGAAGGAAAAUCAAGGCGAUGACCCCAGAAGACAAGGUUUUGGAGCAGACGAAACUAACAGGUGUAACUGACAUUGUUAAAUGUCUAUAGUUCAUCAACGUUUAUCUCAAACAACUUUUCAUAAUGGAAAUAUUCCACCUCCUAAAUUGGAUGUGGUUUCUCCCUUUAAAUUCCCAAUCUCUAUUGUCUGUACCUCUCUUGGGGCAAUUGCCAUAUUUAUUAUAUUUAUUUCUGUGAUCAUAUUAAGUCCAUUGUCUCUAAUCCUUGUUUUAUAAAAGUAUCCCUAAUAAGGUUCUCAUGAGCUAUUGAGUGCAUAAUAUAAAUCGCACAUUUAUUGAAUUGAAUAGAAUUGUUGUUCAGCAUGGAAUCUUUUUAGGUAGGAACUCUAUGCACCUAAAGAGAAAUGCACAGCUAUAAACAAAUAAAAGUGACUUAAUACAGUUAAGUGUUUUAUCAGAUAAAAAGUAGUACUUAAUUGCUGUAUUCAUACAGAAUGUAAAGAAAAUUCUGAUUUAUAGUAAUAGAUUAAAAUAUUUUAAAACAACUAUUAUUUUACAUGUGACUAUUGAGUUAUAAGAGAAAAAGUAUUAUAGGUGAAAAGAAGUGUUAGAAAAUAAAGAAGUCAGAAAGGGAAAGAAAACAGGCAAGGUGAAGAGAGAAUCAGGCAGAGUAGGAAGGAGGAAGAAAGAGUGUCACUGGGAGGAGAAACCAGCAAAAAGCAGCAGAGUGCAAAACUAAGAUUAAAAAUCUGUUUUCUGUUUCCUAUGCAUUAAAGACAAGGGGAAAGAAAAACAGAGGGAAAAAAAAUUGAUCACAUGGGGUAUAAACAAUCAUACACUAAAAUUAAAAGGUAAACAGCAAUUUGGAGGAAAAAGUGUUAACAAGGAUUAUAGAUAAGAACAGUGUCUGACACAUAGUAGAUUCAUUAAAUAUGUGAAUACACCCUCACGUUUUUAUUUUUUUUUAAAUUUUUUUUUCAACGUUUAUUUAUUUUUGGGACAGAGAGAGACAGAGCAUGAACGGGGGAGGGGCAGAGAGAGAGGGAGACACAGAAUCGGGAAUAGGCUCCAGGCUCUGAGCCAUCAGCCCAGAGCCCGACGCGGGGCUCGAACUCACGGACCGCGAGAUCGUGACCUGGCUGAAGUCGGCGCUUAACCGACUGCGCCACCCAGGCGCCCCAACCCUCACGUUUUUAAUAUAUAAGGAGCUCCUGCAAACACAAUUAUAGUAGAAAAACUGUCAAAGACGUGAUCGAAAGAAGAAACAAAUAAUUAAUAAACAUGUAAAAUUAAAAGUGAAAUUUUAGUAAGCCCAAAAUGCAAAAUCAAACAAUAAGAUAUUUUGAACUCGCAUUGGUAGGUGAAUGCAAAUUUAUACUUUUCUAGAAAACAAUUUAAUACUGUAUGUUUAGCUACUGCCAACGUUACGAAGGCAUACAAAAAUAAACAUUUAUUUCUCACGUACAGGUGUUGGGGGCAGGAGGAUGGUUCUGCUUCAUACUGAAACUCUGGUUGGUGUGGCUCUCUUCUCUGUGGAUCUCAUCCUUCUCCUGAAACCAGGAGAAAGGUUUGCUUUGGCAGAGGUAGGAGAGGGAAAAUGGAAAUGUGCUAGACUCCUAUGGAUCCAGGCUCAGAACUCACACAGACCAGAAGCCAAAGCGAAUCAUAAAACCACAUUCUGGGUCAAGGUGUGAGGACAUACACUCCACACAGAAUGACACCACGGAAGAGUCAUGGACUCAGUGGAGGAGGAAGAAUUGAGCCAAGCAUUUAAUCUCCUACAGGUAGUUUUCUGGAAAGCUUUUACAAAAGUCCAGAAGUUUCAAACUGAUGACCCAACUGCAAAAUCCUACUGCUGUUUUUGUUUUGGUGGUUGUGUCCUGAGUGCCCUUAAAUGGGGCAUGCAUUCUCCCCUGUCUCUACCGGACCGGGCUGUCUUACACUCGGCUGCUUUUUAGGGACUUGACUUCACCCUGCAGGCAUCUGAGCUUGAGUUCUCUGGUUUACAGUUAUGCCAUUACACCACUAUUUCUAAUUAUGAAAAACUGGAAAUUCAUCAAAGGUCCAAAAAGAGGAAAAUAGACAAGGUCUUGAUAGAACAUGAAUAUUAUGUAGCCAAAAUUAUGUAAAAUUAUAUUUCAUAACAUUUGGAAAGCCUUUCGGGAUAGUAAUAAAAUUAAUCAGGAUUUAUAGUUAUAUGUAAUUAUGUUUUACAUGUUAUAAAUGAAUAAUGUAUGUAUACAUUAUAACCUUUAUUAAAGAGAGGAUGGUAAGGAAUAUAUCAAAUAUUAUGUGACCAUCUCUGAAUGUUAAGAUGACCAACAAUUGUUUUCUUCUUUGUAUCAUUCCAUAUAAUCAUAAUUUCCUAUGAUAAGUAUUGUUGCUUUCAUAAUGCAAAAAUGUAUAAAAAAUAAACUGCUCUUUUGCCCACAAAUCUGUUAGGAUUUAAAAGUGAUUUCACAUAAUACCAUCCCUUCC